RNAcentral lists this ribosomal RNA (409 nucleotides) under Limnonectes bannaensis (large-headed frog). RNAcentral describes it as "partial 16S ribosomal RNA". It matches the Rfam family "Bacterial large subunit ribosomal RNA", at positions 1834 to 2459 of the family's 2925-position model. Lineage: Eukaryota; Metazoa; Chordata; Amphibia; Anura; Dicroglossidae. The record is from RNAcentral.
CUUGAUAAAAUAUAAGAGGUCCAGCCUGCCCAGUGAUAUAAUUAAACGGCCGCGGUACCCUGACCGUGCAAAGGUAGCAUAAUCACUUGUUCUCUAAAUAGGGACUCGUAUCAACGGCAUCACGAGGGUUAUACUGUCUCCCCCCUCUAAUCAGUGAAACUGACCUCCCCGUGAAGAGGCGGGGAUAUUUAUACAAGACGAGAAGACCCCAUGGAGCUUUAAACCCAAUAACAACCUCCACCAAAGUACCCUAAAAAUGAAGAGGCACUGUUUAUUGGUUUUAGGUUGGGGUGACCACGGAGAAAAACUAAACCUCCAUGACGAAUGGACCUUAAGCCUAAUCUAAGAGCCACUACUCCAAGAAUCAUUAAUUUGACAUAAUUUGAUCCGGCAACCGAUCAACGAACCA